Molecule: long non-coding RNA, 1202 nt
Filed under: Gallus gallus (chicken)
Lineage: Eukaryota; Metazoa; Chordata; Aves; Galliformes; Phasianidae
Description: lncRNA (ENSGALG00010015321.1)
Source: RNAcentral
CGACCCGCCCCGCUCCUCCCAACCGCCGCUGCGCUCCGUGCCCCGCGCCGCAGGGGGACGUCGGGCAGUGCCCGGGCGCCGCAGCUUUCGACCUUCGCUCGCUGAGGGAGAGGGGGUGAGGCGCAUUGCUGCUUGAAUCCCAGCAGAAGUGGGGAAGCGCCUAGGAAACCGGCGUUAAACUAUGGGAAAAAAAUAAAUAAAGAGUUGUGGAAGCUAGGUGCGUCUCAGCCCCUGUUUGUGAUCUGAGUGCGAAUCGGGGGUAUUUAGCGUUCUUUAUUCGGGCCCUGGGCCUCUAGGAGAGCUCACUUCAUAAUUUUCAGCUCUUUGGGGUGGAUUUUGAUUUAAAAUGGUAACCAACGCCUUCAGCUGUCGUCCCUCUCGCAGUGUCUUUGUCUCAGAGCUAAGGCUUUGCGGAAAGAAUACCAAAAGAGUCGGCUGUGUGUAAGAACUGCCUUUAAAAAGGCAGAGUAUUGGUAGAUGUACCCAGAAUUACGUUGUUACGUAUGGGCGUAGGGCCGGAUGGUGGGAGACAAAUGUACAAACCUGUAAAAUAUGACAGAAGUCCAAUAUGUGGAACAUCUGUUUCACAUUUUCCUUACAUAUGUUUUGGUUUUAGACUUAAACAAAAGACAGGCCAGGCAGUUGCUACCCUUCGUUUUUUUCACUGUAAUGAGCAGGAAGCUUGCCUGUCUGCUCCGAGGGUAGCUGCUGUCCUGCUCUCCCUUCGUACACUGUCUGUUUCCACUGGCCUGCCCCUCCUUUCCUUCUGAAGCUUGCUUUUAUGUAAACACGAGUAAAAAAUGUCAAAUCACCUCAUCUUCAAGAAGCCUUGCGUCACAGAAGUGAGGAGUUGCAGAAGGGUCGAAACCCAAACUGUUACGUUGAAAGUAUAACUGAGCUACAACUUUCUUUUUUUUUUUUGGUCAGGCUGAUAUUCGUAAACCCUUUGGAAAUUAAAGAAUAUUCUUUUGAGAAGCGCCUGAUUGUUGUGGAGACUGAUAAAUCACUAGGAGGUCACAUGGUGGAACGUGUUGCUAAGCAGUAUUUCCAGCCCUUGCUAUUUGAAUGCAUUUGGUCUUACCUUGGCCUAAUGUCAGAAGAACCUACCAGUGAAUGUGCAUGCAGGAGAACACAUAAGUACUCAAGGAAACUAUCUCAUCUGAAAUGUAAAAAUGAAUAAAGAUUUGCACAUACGUAACAAA